This 668-nucleotide ribosomal RNA is filed under the name Elusimicrobiota bacterium. RNAcentral describes it as "bacterial SSU rRNA". It matches the Rfam family "Bacterial small subunit ribosomal RNA", at positions 1 to 652 of the family's 1533-position model. The record is from RNAcentral. Lineage: Bacteria; Pseudomonadati; Elusimicrobiota.
UUUUUGGAGAGUUUGAUCCUGGCUCAGAGUGAACGCUGGCGGCGUGGAUUAGGCAUGCAAGUCGAGCGAUCUCGUAGCAAUACGGGACAGCGGCAAAAGGGUGAGUAACACGUAAGUAAUCUUCCCUUGAAACGGGCAUAGCACUGUGAAAACGGUGGUAAUUCCCGAUGUUAUCGAAUGUUCGCAUGGGCGAUCGAUCAAAGGCGGGGACCGCAAGGCCUGCCGUUCAAGGAUGAGCUUGCGUACCAUCAGCUAGUUGGUAGGGUAACGGCCUACCAAGGCUAAGACGGUUAGCUGGUCUGAGAGGAUGGUCAGCCACACUGGGACUGAGACACUGCCCAGACUCCUACGGGAGGCUGCAGUCGAGAAUCAUUCGCAAUGGGCGAAAGCCUGACGGUGCGACGUCGCGUGGAGGAUGAAGGUCUUCGGAUUGUAAACUCCUGUCAUGUGGGAUAAAUGGCCCGGGCCCGAAUACGGCCUGGGAAUGAUCGUACCACAGGAGGAAGAGACGGCUAACUCUGUGCCAGCAGCCGCGGUAAUACAGAGGUCUCGAGCGUUGUUCGGAUUUACUGGGCGUAAAGGGAGCGUAGGCGGUUUGGUGUGUCGAAUGUGAAAGCCCGCAACUCAACUGCGGAAUGGCAUUCGAAACUACCAGGCUAGAGUACUGG